RNAcentral lists this ribosomal RNA (495 nucleotides) under uncultured bacterium. RNAcentral's name for it is "bacterial SSU rRNA". It matches the Rfam family "Bacterial small subunit ribosomal RNA", at positions 17 to 507 of the family's 1533-position model. The record is from RNAcentral.
UCCUGGCUCAGAUUGAACGCUGGCGGAAUGCUUUACACAUGCAAGUCGAGCGGCAGCGCGGGGGCAACCCUGGCGGCGAGCGGCGAACGGGUGAGUAACAUAUCGGAACGUACCCCGUCGUGGGGGAUAACACAGCGAAAGCUGUGCUAAUACCGCAUACGACCUGAGGGUGAAAGCGGGGGAUCGCAAGACCUCGCGCGAUGGGAGCGGCCGAUAUCGGAUUAGCUUGUUGGUGAGGUAAAGGCUCACCAAGGCGACGAUCCGUAGCUGGUCUGAGAGGACGACCAGCCACACUGGAACUGAGACACGGUCCAGACUCCUACGGGAGGCAGCAGUGGGGAAUUUUGGACAAUGGGCGAAAGCCUGAUCCAGCCAUGCCGCGUGAGUGAAGAAGGCCUUCGGGUUGUAAAGCUCUUUCGGUGGGGAAGAAAUUGCAUAGGCUAAUACCCUAUGUAGAUGACGGUACCUGGAGAAGAAGCACCGGCUAACUACGUG